UGCCAGCCGCCGCGGUAAUACGAAGGGCCCGAGCGUUGCGCGGAAUCACUGGGCUUAAAGGGUGCGUAGGCGGAGAUGUCAGUGUCCUGUGAAAUCCCACGGCUCAACCGUGGAACUGCGGGGCAUACUGCAUCUCUUGAGUUCGGUAGGGGCUGUCGGAACUCUAGGUGUAGCGGUGAAAUGCGUAGAUAUCUAGAGGAACACCAAUGGUGAAGACGGGCAGCUGGGCCGACACUGACGCUGAGGCACGAAAGCGUGGGUAGCGAACAGGAUUAGAUA
This 279-nucleotide ribosomal RNA is filed under the name uncultured bacterium. RNAcentral describes it as "partial 16S ribosomal RNA". It matches the Rfam family "Bacterial small subunit ribosomal RNA", at positions 506 to 784 of the family's 1533-position model. The record is from RNAcentral.